RNAcentral lists this transfer RNA (65 nucleotides) under Scolytinae sp. BMNH 1040052. Its description in RNAcentral is "tRNA-Asp". The record is from RNAcentral. Lineage: Eukaryota; Metazoa; Arthropoda; Insecta; Coleoptera; Curculionidae.
AAAAAUUUAGUUAAACCCAUAACGUUAGCUUGUCAAGCUAAAAUUAUUAAAUAUAGUAAUUUUUU